GGAAGGGUAAGAGCCUCUCACCGGGGACUGGAGGGAACAGUCUCCGUUUCAAUGGAAUAAAAACUGCGCAAUUUUCUAUUGAGGACUCCCUGCUCCGGAUUAAUGCUCCGCACCGUGAAGGCAACAUCUGACGCAGCGUUUGGUGGAUUAUUGAGGCCAUCCGUUGCUGGAUUUUUUUUAAAUUUAUUUGAUUUUUUUUUUUUUUUUUUGGGAGGAUUCACCAGCUUAUGUUUUGAACCCUGUGUUUUUCAGAGAGGGGGGGGGGAAGCAGGCGCUGUGAUGUGACUGUGCAGGGAUGCACGCAGUUUUAUCCGUCAUGCCUUGCUCAUGGGUGUCCAUGGGCGAUCCGUGCGCUGUCCCUGAACGCGUCGUGGAUGUUGAAUGGGGUUUUCAUUUUUUGGAAGGGGCUGCGUCAGAGGUGGACUACUGUGCACAUUUUCCACGGCGCAUCCCCGGCUGCACGUUUAGGGAUCGGAUUGGAAAAGAGAGAGAAGCAGUGAGGAACAUGGCGAAGUGUGACCGUGCCAUGUUUGAAGAACCUCCAGCCCCUGACUGACGUGAAGUGGCCCCGUUCCAUCCUGCAGACAUGCACAGACACAGUCAAACAUCAUCAAACAUCAGUCUGUCAAAGAUUGGCUUCGAAUGAUCGGAAAUCCACUGUCACAGGUAAGAUGUGUGCAAAUUUCAAUGCUUGACCUAAAAGCAGGUUUCAGUAGUUUUUACUGCAGGUGAGCUCGAUGGGGUUGUAUGCAUGUUCUCCGCAGGCUUUCUGCAUCUCCUGAUGAAUCAGAUGAUUUCAAACAGUGUUUCUCAGCUGGUUCGGCUUAACAAGGAGCCUUCUUUACCCUCACUGGCAUUGACCCUCAGAAUGUAUCCAUUGAAAAGUUGGAGCAGUUUCACACUAAUAGGAAAGAGAAAUAUUUCAUUUUACAGUACACUCAUGCAUUUUACUUUAUAAUACAAUAACCAAAAUACAAAUUCGAGGGGUGUAAUUUGGU
RNAcentral lists this long non-coding RNA (998 nucleotides) under Gouania willdenowi (blunt-snouted clingfish). Its description in RNAcentral is "lncRNA (ENSGWIG00000022988.1)". The record is from RNAcentral. Lineage: Eukaryota; Metazoa; Chordata; Actinopteri; Blenniiformes; Gobiesocidae.